RNAcentral lists this long non-coding RNA (2493 nucleotides) under Mus musculus (house mouse). Its description in RNAcentral is "long non-coding RNA chr5:108629843-108632336". Lineage: Eukaryota; Metazoa; Chordata; Mammalia; Rodentia; Muridae. The record is from RNAcentral.
AGGCGCAGGCGCAGAGGGUGCGAUCCUACGGACCUCAAGCUCCUAGGAGGCACGGAGGUAGGGCUGUCGCCAUCUGACCCUAACCUCAUCUGGUUGCUUCCGCUGGCCCAGGUCCAGCCUAGGUGGCUAGAGCGUCGCGGGACGUUGGGCGCGCGCUGCGGACCGCCCCAGAGCCCGCCGCUCGCGCCUGACGCCUCAAGGUAAAGCGAGGCCUGGAGCCCACCCUAAGUGUCCCUAAUGCCCGGUUUAGGAGAGGAGGGUAUCUUGCAGACAAGCAGCCAGCCUAUGAGCCACAGACACUUAUGUUUUGGUCCACACAGGUUUGGGGGAGGAUGAACUAGUUGCUAGAAUUAAGACCGAAAAACGUAGUUUUAAAAGGGGGCGGGAGAAAGCUUCACAACGUGUAUACAAAAGUCACCUGGCAGCACUGGACGCAGAAUCCCGUGUGAUGUCAAACACUUAGAGCUGUCCAUCUCAGGUGAGGCAAAGUCAUGGGAUUCCCCACUCGUCUCUGUACCUCCGAGGUUUCUGAAGCCAUAUGAAGUUGCAGAGCCUUGGGUAGAGUUUGUGCUUUUGGACUGAAAAAUGGAUCCUUAAGCCCAAAUCAACAUCUUAACUGUCCCAGGAUUGUAUGCUAUUAAAUACGCCUUGGGGGGGGGGGGGGCGCUACCUGCUCUUUAAAAAGUCAAGUAGAAAAGAAAUGAAAGAUUAUCAUUAGUAUACAGUGAGGUACGUGGUAGGUGAGACAGUAGUUUCCUAGAAAUGGUGAAGUGGAAGCUUUGGAUAACACCUGGAGGAAUAAAGAACUGAUGAAGUAGAGAUGGUACCUGUAGGUAACUGAGGAGAUUUGUGAAGAAGAGUGUGGGAGCUGAAAGGGCAGUGUGGUGUUAACAUGAUCUUAGAUGGGAGACUUGAGCAGCCUAAAGCCAAUGGGAAAGAGUGAAGUCUUUCCAGUAUAGUGGAGAGGAGUACUGUCUCAGAAUAGUAGGACAGUCAAGUCACAUCCAGAUAGAGGAUAUGUAGUGUUGGUAUAGAAAUGGCACCUUUCUAUAAGAGAAUCACUUAUAAGAUGCAGGGAGGAGGAAGUAGCUACGGCUUGCAGUUGCAGGUAACUUUAUGUUAUUACUGGAAUGAAGUUGAAGGGAUUUUUUAUUUUUUGGUGGCUUCAGAUCUCAUUAUUUAGAAGGAAAAUAAAUCUGAAAGCAAAAGGAAAAAGUAGGGAAUUGGAGGCUUGGUAGCCUUCAAGAGACCUAAAACAUCAUGAGAAACAUCAUGAACAAUUCACUACAGCGUAUAGUGAAACUUGACACCAUAAACUCUUGCUGGCAUGACCUAGGACAAGUGGAAAUUUCUAAAUCAUGUAAUUAUAGAUCAAUUUUAUGGCAUUGUAGUAGAUGCCAUUCCAAGACCAUUUUAACUGGAACUGCAUCUUGUGGUCUCUCGUGAUCCCACCUCAUGUAUGAACACAUACAGAUUUAAAACUGAAUCCGUGCUCUUCCUCCACCAACACAUUCUCUUGUGGUAGUAAAAGAUAUUGCCCAAGAGUAAGUUAUUUUAUAAUGAUGAAGGGGUGAAAUCAUAAAAAGAGUGCAUCAGGGCUGAAGAGAUGGCUCGGUGGUUUAGAGCUCUUGUGCUUGCAGAGUGCUGGGGUUCAAUUCCCAGCAUCCACAUGGCGGCUCACAACCACUUAUAACUCCAGUUCCAGGGGAUUCAGCGCCCUCUUUAAACUUCUGUAGGCAGUAAGUAUGCAUGUGGUGCACAUAGGUAUAUGCAGGCAAAAGUCAUACACACAAAAAAAAAUUUAGUUUAAAACAAAAAAAAAAGAUGUAUCAACUAUAAACAUGAUUAAAGCCAAAUUUAUAAAGUGUGUUAACUGAGAAGCUAAUAGACCCAAAAGGAGAGAGACAAAUUGGAAGUUGAGAUAGUUGGAGAUUGUUUUCUCAAUGAGUGAUAAGUAUCCAGAAAAUCACAGAGUAUAUAGAGGACUUAAAUAGCCCUGUCAGUCAUCUUGAAUUAAUGAACAUUUAUAGAGCAAUUCCUAUUAAUGCACAGAAUUAGUAUUAAUUAGCAGAUACACAUAUUUUCCAAGUGUGUAAAGAAUUACUAACCUAGAACAUCUGGGCAAUGAAACAAGCAUGUUAUCUGAUCACAAUGAAUUUAACUAGAAAUUAGCAGUGUGAAAAAUGUUUCUGAAUGGAAAAGGAUAGUAUCCUUUUAUGUGUCAAAGAAGAAAUCAAAGGUAGUAGUUUUGUACGAGCUGAAAAUAAAAAUAUAGAAUUUCAAAAUAAUGGGGUAGUAUUAAGUCAUUAGUAGGAAAUUGAUCACAUUUAGUGACUUUAGUGUUCAUCUUUUAAAAAAUCAGAAAAAUGAAAUGCAAAGUAAUUUAAGGAAGAUUAAAUACCAAAGAGCAGUGGAACAAACAAUAAAUAAUCAAUGAAACAAGAACUGAUUUUUUGAGUCAGUAAAACUUAGAAGUCACUGGCCAAAUUGAGU